UGCGCCUAUAGCUCAAUGGAUAGAGCACUAGUCUUCGGAACUAGUGAUGGGGGUUCGAUUCCCUCUAGGCGUACCCA
Molecule: transfer RNA, 77 nt
Filed under: bioreactor metagenome
Description: tRNA-Arg
Rfam family: tRNA
About the family: Transfer RNA (tRNA) molecules are approximately 80 nucleotides in length.
Source: RNAcentral